RNAcentral lists this long non-coding RNA (13929 nucleotides) under Nicotiana tabacum (common tobacco). Its description in RNAcentral is "long non-coding RNA (NTAB_LNC005927)". The record is from RNAcentral. Lineage: Eukaryota; Viridiplantae; Streptophyta; Magnoliopsida; Solanales; Solanaceae.
AGAAAGUGGUUAGUCAAUAAACGAGCAAGGUCUUUCAAGUUGAAAUCAAAGUUAUCAUGGGAACUGAAGGAGCAAUUGCCCUCAAAGUCAAUACCACAAACUAACCACCAUGUUUUAAACUCACAAGUUUUCUUUGUCUGAAACAGGCAUGAAGGCUAUGUUCAUAUCAAAGCUUGAAUUUUUCAGGUGUAAUGCCCCAAUUCUGCUUAUGCAAAGGCUACUGAGAAGAUCACACAUCACCCCUAGGAGACGCACUUCCUAGUCUGGGUCUUUCAAGUUAUAUUUUUAUUUUAGGAGACACACUUCCUAAUUUGAGAUUUUACUCCUAGGAGACACACUUCCUAGUUUUGGGUCAUUUAAAUUCAUUCCUAGGAGACGCACUUCCUGGUUUGAAUCAUUGAAGUUUUACCCUAAGGAGACACACUUCCUAAUCUAGGUCUUUCAGCUUAUAUUAUUGUUAUAGGAGACGCACUUCCUAGUUUGAGUCACUGAAGUUUUCACCCCUAGACGCAUUUCCUAGUCUAGGUUUUUCAGGUUAUAUUUUGUUUUAGGAGAUGCACUUCCUAAAUUGAGGUUUUACCCCUAGGGGACGCACUUCCUAGUUUGGGUCAUUUAAGUUCACCUCUAGGAGACGCAUUUCCAAGUUUGAGUCACUGAAGUUUUCACCUCUAGGAGACGCACUUCCUAGUCUGGGUCUCUCAGGUUAUAUUUUUGUUUUAGGAGACGGACUCUUUAAGUUGAGAUUUUACCCCUAGGAGACUCAAUUCCUAGUUUUGGGUCAUUUAUGUUCAUUCCUAGGAGACACACUUCCUAGUUUGAUUCAUUGAAGGUUCACCCUUAGGAGACACACUUCCUAGUCUAAGUCUUUCAGCUUAUAUUGUUGUUAUAGGAGACGCACUUCCUAGUUUGAGUCACUGAAGUUUUCAUCCCUAGGAGACGCACUUCCUAGUCUGGGUUUUUCAUGUUAUAUUUUGUUUUAGGAGACGCACUUCCUAAAUUGAGGUUUUACCCCUAGGAGACGCACUUCCUAGUUUGGGUCAUUUAAGUUCACCCCUAGGAGUCGCACUUCCUAGUUUGAGUCACUGGAAUUUUCACCCCUAGGAGACGCACUUCCUAGUCUGGGUCGUUCAGAUUAUAUCUUUGUUCUAGGAGACGCACUUCCUAAAUUGAGAUUUUACCCCUAGGAGACGCACUUCCUAGUUUUGGGUCAUUUAAGUUCAUUCCUAGGAGACACACUUCAUAGUUUGAGUCAUUGAAGUUUCACCCUUAGGAGACGCACUUCCUAGUCUAGGUAUUUGAGCUUAUAUUGUUGUUCUAGNAGANGCACUCAUUUAAGAUCACCCCUAGGAGAUGCACUUCCUAGUUUGGGUCUUUCAGGUUAUAUUUUGAUUUAGGAGACGCACUUCCUACAUUGAGAUUUUACCCCUAGGAGACGCACUUCCUAGUCGGGGUCUUUCAAAUUAUAUUUUUGUUUUUAGGAGACGCACUUCCUAAAUUGAGAUUUUACCCCUAAGAGACGCACUUCCUAGUUUUGGGUCAUUUAAGUUCACCCCUAGGAGACACAUUUCCUACAUUGAUAUUUUACCCCUGGGAGACGCACUUCCUAGUCGGGGUCUUUCAAAUUAUAUUUUUGUUUUUAGGAGACGCACUUCCUAAAUUGAGAUUUUACCCUUAGGAGAUGCACUUUCUAGUUUUGGGUCAUUCAAGUUCAUUCCUAGGAGACGCACUUCCUAGUUUGAGUCAUUUAAGUUCAUUCCUAGGAGACGCUCUUCUUAGUUUGAAUCAUUGGAGUUUCAUCCUUAGGAGACGCACUUCCUAGUUUGGUUCAUUCAAGUUUCAUCUCUAGGAGACGCAUUUCCUUGUUUUUGUUAUUUGAGUUCAUCCCUAGGAGACACACAUCCUAGUCAAGUCUUUAGUUUACUCUCACCAUUGCAUCAAUAGCAUAAGCGAUUUACAGUUUUGCUAAUAACUCACAAAUCUUCCUAGUGCAAACUAGGACAGAAAAUUUUGUUUGUUUUGUUGUUUUGUUUGCAGGCACCCAACAGGAGAACGAGUGAAGGCAUUUCAGAGUCCAUUUCAGAGUCAUUUCAAGUUUCAAGUCAGUAGAGGCGCCCACCUGGAGAACGAGGGAAGUCAUUUCAGAAUUCAAUUCAAGUUAGAAGUAGCAGAAGCUCGCCUCAAGAACGCGAGUCAACAGUCCGAGGUGACCAACAGAAAUAGUCUCUUUCAGAAAAAAAUGAAAAAGAAGAGAUAAGUAAAUCCAAAUGCCAAAGCAGAUGAAAGAUGUGAACUGCUCAAGACAUGGUUGAAGUUACGAGCACUACAUGUCCGGUCUUGAUCUGAAGAAGUCGUGGAAGAAUGAAUCAACACCUGCAGCUAGCAAGCAUCAAGGUUCAAAUCAAAAGUGUGCAAGAAGAACCAUUCAAGAUUCAAGAUCAAGCUUCAGUAGACUUAUAGAUAGGAAUCUUGUAACUCAUAACUGAUAGGCUUGCUUAGUUCUUUUAGAUUUUGAUUUGAUGUAAUAAGAGGACCGCGGACUGGAACCUCGGCGGCACCUCAAUUGGCUCUCCACCUCGGUAUACUCCAUCACUGUUUCUACUCUUGAACUACACGUGGCCUGAUUCCUUUAUACAAAAGGAUAUGUAGGCAGCUCAGAUAUCAGGGCUCGAUCACAUUCUCCUCUCUUUUAGUUUUUGGUAUCUCUAAAUAAGGGUAGGGUCAAAAAACAUGUCUCGUCAUUCAUUGUCUGAAAAAUCUUCGUGUUUCCAGUCAAAGAGGGGUAGUUGUAGACAUAUAAUUUUUGACUCUCCCAGGGACUUCUACACCUUGUAGUGCUAAAUAUUUCUUUUAGUUAUAAUAUUGUUACUUUGCCUAUUUUUGAUACUUUUGCUUUAUUUUCUCUUGAAAACAAAAACUACAGAAAUAUUUUUUGUUUGUUUUUUGUUUAUUUAUUUUAACUAACAGAUAUUAUGCCUCAUUAUUUUAGUUUAUCUUACUUUUAAUAAAAUUAAAAAUUACAAAAAUAAUCACAUGUGUUUUCUUAAUUAUUUCAUGGAAAUUUAGCAUUUUUUUCUUAUUUCUUAUUUCGUGACCGUUUCUUUCCCAAAAGAAAAAUAGAAAAAGAAUAUCAUCUCCUUGGUUUUACCCAAUCUAAGAAAGUUUUGUUUUGUAAAAUAAUUUUCGACAGUUACACUUAGUUGAAGUGUUUGCAUUUGUUUAGCUAAAAUAUCUUUGUAUUUUUUUAAUUGAACAAUUGAAAAAAAUGAAGAAAAAAAAAAGGUAAAAGCAAAGACAAAAAUCCUUAUUUCUUUCACGUGGCCACUCAACUUGGGACCACUUCUUUUUCAACCUCAUCAAUUCAUUUACAUUACACAUUCACAUAAGCUUUGCCCACAAAUUAUUCACUGUGCAUUUGUUUUUGCUUAUAUUCCUACAAUCACAUUCCACACACUUUGCACUUAUUUUCUUUUAUUGUGAUUUUGAUUUUAUUUUUAAUCCACCUGCACUCUUUUGUUUUGACCUCACUCCACUCACACCCACAUUUUGGCAGUUGGCACAAAAAAUAUUUCUUAUCAUCCAUACACUUCACACGGCAGAUAAUUAUCAAGGAGGGGACCACACACUUUCUUCACACAUUUUUCUUUCUUCUUGUCCAAGCACUUCAGAUAGAAAUAAAGAUAUAUAUCCAUCAUUCACACGAAAAGAGGGGGAGUAUUUUGCAGAGAGAUAGAAGGGAUACACAAAAAUACAGUAAGUCAGGGGGAGACAUAGGAACUGGGAAAAAAUUAGGAAAAAACGUAACCUUCUUCUUUCUUCUCUAGCAUCGACAAUACCAUUUUCUCAUCACCCAAGAAUUCUCAUCUACUCAACUAAUCUCUAACAAAAACUAGUAGCACACACACUUGACUAAUCUAGAGGACCUUAAUCUCUUAAGAGACCAAAAAGAGAAGGCCAGCCGCAUCAGAGAUAAGAAAAACGGGAUAGUUGCACCCCAUUUUUGGACCUCUAAUUUCUUUAAUUUCAUUAACCACCACACAACCGUCUUCCCCUCUAACUCCAUCUUCCUGAACCUAAUGCCUUUCCCUUUUUACAUGAAUCUUCAUUCUCUCGAAAAUACAAAAUAGACACACACACAAACUAAAAAACAGAAAACAGAGUGAGUGAACGGACAACAAAGACAAGGAACGAUCGAAAAUCCAAAGAGAAAAUUAAGAGAAGGACACGAAGCAGAGGGAACGGGGGGGUCGAGGAGGUUCCGCUGGGUGUUGUUCGAGUUUCUAUUGCAAUUUAUUCGAUCCGAUUUCAAUAGAUGUAGUUCAGUUUUGCUGUUGGAAUCUCUUGUGUGUACUACUCGGAGGAAAUUUUUAAUCGGAAAGCUUGUCUAAAGGUUCGAUUCUUACUCUGCUUCCUGAAUGUUUAUUGUGUGAUUUUGCUUAAUAUCAUACUUAGUAUUUGAUAUAUUGCUUAUUGCUCUAUUUUAAUAACGUCUUGUUAUUGGUUUGCUCUCUUUUGUUCUUGUUGUUUAAGUUUAAUAUGUGUUUGAAUUUGCAAUGGCUAAGAUGAAUUUAUAAUUACCGUUGCAAUUCUUUAUUAAGAGAUACUGUAAGGCUUCAAGAUUACCAUUUUUGUGACGGAAAGUUAAAUUAAUUAGUUAAUGAUUGGUUGGUGGCUUAGAUUGUGAAACAAGUAUUAUGCCAUGGGAGUUAGGCUCGGAUUAAAGAAAGUUGGAUUUAAGAGUGAAUGUCCAUGGGAUAGUUUAUUUCUUUUUAUUUAUUUAUUUAUUUAUUUAAUCUGGAUCACUAGCAUCAUGUUUAGGUCGACCAUACUCGGGUAGGAAAAGUUUAGGUUUUAUUUUUCUCUUUUAUUUGAGGUAAGAGGUCGUUCUCUUAGUUUAAUUUAUCCGGGGAAUGCCUCGAAGGAUUUGUAUAUAUGUUAUUCCAGGCAAUGCCCCGUAGUAUUCUAUAAUUGGAGGCCGAAAACGAACUCAUAGUACUUUUAUUCUUAUUUUAUUUUCAUUUUUCUUUUAUUAUGUGGGAAUAACUUCGAGCCUCUUGUGUGUUUAUUUUUCUUUUAUGUGUUUAGUUUUACCUCAAUUCGAAUAUUUUAAAAGCCGAUUUGAUCAAGUGCGCAACCGUACUAGUUAUGGGACUUGGGGAGUGCCUAACACCUUCUCCCCGAGUCAAAUGAACCCCCUUACCCGAAUCUCUGGUGCAGACUUAGUUUUGGAGUCUAACGUUUUUCAAAAGGAAAAAUUAUUUUUAAAAACGGUGACCUGACACACCGAAACCAAUGUCAGGUGGCGACUUUGAAAAGUCCUUUUGAACAAAUUUUUUUCAUUUUCUAAUUGGAAAACCCUUUUAGCUUUACUAAUCUUUUUAUUUAUUUUAAGAGGGUUAGUGAGGUUGUAAAAAAGGGGUGUGACAGCUCUGGCGACUCUGCUAGGAAAUUGCAGGUUCGAGCUGAUACUUGAUCUCGUUGGCUUUUAGGAUUUUCGGUUAAGGUAUUUUUUUUAUUUGGUUUGUUUGUCUUAUUUCCUGUUUUGUUAGUUAUUUGUUUAUCGCUUUUCCUUAUGUGUUUACUGCUUUAUAACUAUCAUCAUUUGCAUAACCAUGGGUCUUCUUUCUGCAACAAAUCUUCUAGAGUACGUUUGAGCGUACACGGCCUUUUUGUGAGUCACACGUAUCUUUAGGGGUGGCGUGGGAGCGUGGAGUGGGCAGACAGCUAGAGCAGCCGCCAUCGACCACGUACCGCCCUAAAUUGUCUUGUUAGUAAACCCUAAGCUUAGGUCAGCCUUUAGGCUAUUCUUAUUUGCAUCAUGUCAUUUAGACCUAGUAGGGCUCAGUUCUAGGUACCGUGUCCCUUUUUAGGAGGCCUAUCCAAAUUAUGUCAAAACAGGCCCAUGGCCUAGAAAGACAUUCAAUCAUCCAUGUGUGCUACAAGCUGCAUUCUUUAAGGGUAAAAGGGUCAUUUGGUGGACCAAUGAUAGUUGAGGGCAAAUAAAUAAGAAAAGAGGGUGAAGUAUAAAAAUGAAGUAAGUAGGGCCCAGUUAUGAUUUUCUUUCACAACUUUUUCAAGAAAAAGACAGAAAAAAUGAAUGAAAAUGAAAAAAAAAAUCCAAAAAAGAUUUGCACUUUCCCAUCAUUUUCCAAAAAUUAAAAAAGAAAAGAAAAAGAAAAUCCAAAAAAGAUUUUACAUGUUUCAUCAUUUUUCAAAAAAAAAAGACAAAAAAUAUAUUUUCUUUAAAUUGGUGUUCUUUUUAAAUUAUAUCUCAUAUCCAAUCUUCCCGAACUACGCAUAACUGAUUCUUGUCUUUAGGGACAAGAUACGUAGGCAGCCCACAUAGGACCCGAUCUUCCUAGUGAGUCUUAGGUUUUUGGUUUCGCGGGGUCUUAGCCAAAUCUUGCAUGUUUAGCCACAUUCGGCCACAUCGGCCGUUUUUUGCAGAAUAGGGAUAUUCUCUCAAAUUAGUUUGUUAUCCCAUAUCUUAGAGUCUUUUGUCUUGAACAAGGUGUCCUUUCAGCUUUAAGGGUAUUCCUGUUGAAUUUGUAUGUCUAGCCACUUUUGGCCACAUCGGCCACUCUUGCAAAAUGGAGUCAUUUCCGCAAAAGUGGUUCAUUGAUCCAUGUCUCAGAAUCUUGAGGUCACAACUAAGUGUACCACUACCUUAAGGUCUAUCCUUUUGAGUUUGCAUCUUUAGCAACUUCUGGCCAUAUCGAUCACUUUUGCAAAAUGGAGCAUUUUCGCAAAUUAAUUUUGGACCAUGAUAUUGGGAGUUUGAAUCCAUAUAAGCCUUAGUGAGGCAUUUUCCAUGUCUAUGAGGUCAAUCUUGUUGAGUUUACACUUCUAGCCACUCUUGGCCACAUAGGUUAAUUUUCACAAAUAGCUCAAUCGUGUCUUGCAUGUGUCCCGUAGGAGGUGUUGUGGCGUUGCAUAGUGUCUUGAGUCUAUAACUCUAUUUGGUCUUGUUUUUCUCAUUCAGUUUUGGAUCAAUGUACCAGAGCUCGAGCAUGACAAAUACCCCGGAACCAUUGCAUUUGGAAGCUUGUUUGAAGAGACUUUUUAUAUUUUGAGUCCAUUUUCAUAUUUUCUUUUACUUUCUUGUCUCAUCUAGUAGUUUUAAGUCUUUUAGGUGGUGUAAGAGUUUUUCAAGUCUUUUGUCAUCGCACUUCCCAUUUGUAUUCGAAAACAAAAAAAAAUAGUUAUAAAUGAAAAAUCCAAUUUUUUUUUUAGUUUAUUUUGUCCACUACUUUUUCAGAACUACGCUUGAUCUGAUUUAUGUGGAACAUGAAACGUAGGCAACCUACAUAGGGUUCGAUCAAAUCAUUAUUUUAAAAUUUAAAAAAAAGAGAAAAAAGUUGUGGGAUGUGAGAAAUGAGAGGAAAGAAAAGAGUGACAAUUAAAAAGAAAAAGAGGAAGGAAAAUGAGCGAGCCAAGAAGUACUAGAAAAAAAAGGAAAGAGAAAAUUGAAAUAAACAAAAUUGGGAUGAUGCCAAAUGACCUUGUGACACUCGAAGCCAUUCUAGAACCAUUAAUUGUUGCUAGGGGCAUUGCACGCAAUGUGAUAUUUAUAUCUGAUAAAUGCCCAAAUGCUAACAUGUUGGCUUUGUUUUGCUCCCCUUUGUUACUUUCAUUAUUAUCAUAACAGAGGGUGGUUAGUUUGUGGCAUUUUGACGAGUCAUCUGUACAACAUAAGGUCCAAGAGCAAGGUAGACAUGGCUAGCAAAGACUUGGACACAAGAGUUGUAGACCCACCGAGGGAGAAUGUCGAGUCGGAAUCGAAAUUGAUAGAGGAGGUCCGAAGGUUGAAACAUCAUAUGGCAAAAAUGUAUCAGGCCUGGAUUAAGGGACAUCCUCCACCUUUAUUCCCUACCAACUAUAAAGAAAACCAUGCCUCCAUUCCACCGCUGUCCCACGCCCAGAUGCCCACUACUGUUUACCUUUCUCCUCAACAUGCAUCGGGCUUUACCCCUUACCACAAUUACCCUGACACUUUCUCCUAAACUUUCCAUGCUCCACCAGCCAAAACAACUGCAUUCCCAGCUCCAGAUACCCAAUACUAUGCCCCGGAACCCACCUUCAAAGUCUCAGAUCCUUACUCCUACACUCCCCACCUUGAGCCUCAUGUUGAAACUGACAAACCACACAAGAACGCGGAGCAAGAGGAUAUAUUUAGGAAGGUAAAGAGUUUGGAGCGAUCAUUGAUAAAUAUGCAGGGGUUAGGAAGCCAGGUGAGUGUGACUUAUAAGGAUUUGUGUUUGUUCCCUGAUGUUCAACUGCCUGUCGGGUUCAAGAUGCCCAAGUUUGACUUGUAUGACGGACAUGGGGAUCCUGUAGCUAACUUGAGAGGUUACUGCAGUAAAAUGAGAGGCAUCGGGGGAAAAGACAAAUUACUGAUGGCGUAUUUCAGCCAGAGUCUGAGAUGGGCAGCUCCAGAAUGGUACACCCGCCAGGACGCCAGCAGGUGGUACACAUGGGAUAAUUUGGCUUAGGCCUUUGCUCGGCAUUUUCAGUACAACAUAGACAUUGUCCCGAAUUGCCUGUCCCGGAUCGCCUGUCCCUGAACAAGGUAGAAAAGAAGCCCAGUGAAAGCUUUAGAGAAUAUGGGUUCCGAUGGUGGGAGCAAGCUGCACGGGUCAAUCCUCCGAUGGAAGAAGAUGAGAUGGUUGAAUACUCUCUUCAAGCCCUGAAGCCUACUUACUUCGGCCAUUUGAUCUCAGCUAUUGGUAAGCCUUUCAAUGAUGUUGUAAAUAUGGGAUAAAUGGUGGAAGAAGGACUGAAGUCAAGCAAGAUCAUGAGCUAUUCUUCCUUAAAAUUCAUAACACGGGCAAUUCUGAACGAUAUAGGAAGCUUGUCGGGUCAGAAGAAAUAUGAUGAUGUUGUCAUGGUUGUCUCAAGAUCACGACACGGCCCAACGGGUCCUCCUCACCAAUAUACUCAGCUUCAACCCCGACCCCAACCCCAAACCUAUCCUCAAGCUCUACAUAAUCCACCUCAGUAUUAUCCUCCGAACAACGUCCAGUCAUUUGUUCAACCACUAGGUCACUCCUUAUGGCAAACACCAACACCACAUAAUACUUUUUCGCCUUCACAACAUUUUCAAGCACCCAACAACCCUAGGAAAUAGGGGUAUAGAGGGGAACAAAGGCAAAGAAAUAGUCUCACUCCAAUCGGAGAAUCCUACACAAGCUUGUUUGAAAAGCUAAAACAGUCUGGCCUGAUUGAGCCACUCCUCGGCUAUACUCCGGACCCAUAUGCAAAAGGUUUUGAUCCUACUGUAUGGUGCAUGUACCACUCUAAUGUCCAAGGGCAUGGCAUUGAAGAUUGUCGUGCUUUGAAAAGGGAGAUAGAAAGAAUGAUUCAAGAAGGGGUAAUUGUGGUCCAGGACAGUGACACCCAGAAUAUCGCACAAAAUCCUUUACAUGCACAUGAUGAUGUACACUUUGUUAGGGAGAUGCGUGGUGACAGGGAGAAUGAGAAUCCUUUUGGGAACUUGCUGACUGAAGUUAAUGAUAUUGAAAUUGGUGAAGGCCCCAACAAUUUUGAUGUGCAAUCCAGUGGCUGAGAUGUCAAGUUUGGUAAUUGAAAAGACACUCCUUUCUUGGCUAGCCAGUGAGGAGUUUUGGUGGUUUUAUUUUGUUGUCAUUUCUGUUUUUCGGGUCAUUUCAGGGUUGUAAUCCGGACAUUGUCUUGUGGCUCAAAAUCUUCUGCUUCUUAUUUUGCCUAGUUCGUUUAGUGGUAGUAACUCGUCUAGUGUUAUCUAGGAUUGUUCCGGGGCUGUAACCCAUGUCACUUCUGCUUGUUUUGUUCAAACCUUUUUCACCGUCUGUCUAAUGCAGUCUCAUGUUUCCUGUUAGUUCUAGUCUAUUUUUGUUAUAGGUCACUUUUCCUUUUAUAGUUCUUUUCAUGCUGACUCUAGUGACAUGACAUGCAUGCAUAAUUCUCAGCCUGGUCUUGAUAAAUAGUUUAAUCACGAAGCAAUCACAUAGUUUUGAAUAUGAUAAAAGGAUGCAUUUGAGAAAACAAGUAAAGAUUCACGCAUUCUGAGAUAACCUGAAGCUUGAAUGGAGUGAAACUGAGGCAGUUAGUCUAGGAAAUCAAGAAGUUGAUAAGAGCACACAACAAGGAAAUGUCUCUCAAGCAGUUUGAGGUAGAUCAGUCAGUGUUGAAAUGCAUUCUUCCACAUCAAGAUAAGGUUGAGUCAAGUUUGUUUCUAAUUGGCAAGGAUCAUUUAUUGGGACAAAGGUAUUACCCGUCGGCACUUUCUGUUUGUGUUGAUUCCAUUAGUAGAUACUAUGUAUGAUUUCUUUUCUUACCUUCAAUUGCAUAUGUGUACCUGACAUUUUUAAAGUUUGGUAUGACGAAGACAUUUUAUUCUGCUACCCAAACACUUUUAUCUUUUGCUACUCCUUUUGAGCCUUAAUUUGUUUUGCUUCAUACCCCUCUUUUGGAAUCAAAAGUAGAGUUAGGAACAAGAAAAGAAAAAGAAAAGAUAAAGGAAUAAAAAUAAGAAAAAGAACAGAAAAAGAGAAAAAAAAAGAAAAAAAAGGAAAAGGAAAGAAAAGGAAAAAAAAAGAAAAAAAAAACCAACUUUGUAUUGCAACUACGUUCGACCUGAUUCCUUUUAAGGAUUCCUAGGCAGCCUUACUCUGAGGUUCGGUCCCAUCAAAGAAAAAAUCUAUAAAAAAAAAAGAAGAACAAAAAUCCAAAAAAAAUCCAAAAAAAAAGAAAAAAAAAAGAAAAAAAAUUAACCCAAAACUANNNNNNNNNNNNNNNNNNNNNNNNNCUAAGAAACUGGAGCAGAAGUUUUAAUUUUGGCCAAAAGAUCUGAUUCCAAAAGUUAUAAUUUUGAACCCUUUCAUCUUAAAUUAUUUUGAGCUUUCAUGCCACCCUUUCUUUCCAACCUAAUCCAAAAGCCUACAUUAUGGUCCAUAGAAAGACCUUCCGACCAAUCUUUGAGGAUGCCAAAUCAAGUGUGGUUAAAGUAUGAUUUUCCUACAUCAUGGGUAAUACCGUGUUCUCAUUGUAAAGAGAGAAAAUGAUAAAUGAGAGAGUCUUAUCGGUGAAACCCUCAUGGGAACCGUAAGGCGACGGUGAGUUCAGAAAAAGAGCAAAAUGAGAGAGGCUUGAUGGUGAAAACCCUUUAGGGCACUACAAAUCGACUGAGGAUUGUGGAUCAAAUGGGACAAUUGGAGUGUUGAAGCCCAGUUUCACAGCUUAGAGGCACAACAAGAGUUGAACAUUAGACUUGUUUAACAGAUUAGGCCACUUUAAUUCAAAAUACAUGUCACGUCAUUAGAGUUGGUAUCUAUAUCUGACAAGUUUCUAGUCGGUGAUUUUCUUGUUAGAUGUCAUAUCUUUCUGUUGUCCCCUUAACUCUGUUCUUCUUGCUUUGUUUAAGUUCUCUGGAGUCUAUUUUGUCAGAACAAGUAAAGAAAUGACUUCAGAAUCUACUACUAGUUUUCCAAUUGCACAAAGCGGAAUCUGGAUAGCACAUCAAAGUGGCGUAUGUCAAAAAAGAAUAGUAUGUGCACUGAGUUGGUAACAAUCAACAUGCUUUGGGAUUCAUGUGAAAUACAAAGAUUCGGUAAAUGUCAAUUCGUGAGCAUAAUGCAACAGAUAAAGGGUAUUGGGUUUGAAUGGAUCAGAGGUAUUUUUGUGAUAAGGGUGAUAGAGAAAGUGGUUAGUCAAUAAACCAGCAAGGUCUUUCAAGUUGAAAUCAAAGUUAUCAUGGGAACUGAAGGAGCAAUCGCCCUCAAAGUCAAGGCCACAAACUAACCACCAUAUUUUAAACUCACAAGUUUUCUUUGUUUGAAAUAGGGAUGAAGGCUAUGUUCAUAUCAAAGCUUGAAUUUUUCAGGUGUAAUGCCCCAAUUCUGUUAUGCAAAGGCAAUUGAGAAGAUCACACAUCACCCCUAGGAAACACACUUCCUAGUCUGGGUCUUUUAAGUUAUAUUUUUAUUUUAUGAGACACAGUUUCUAAAUUGAGAUUUUAUCCUAGGAGACGCACUUCCUAGUUUUGGGUCAUUUAAGUUCAUUCCUAGGAGACACACUUCCUAGUCUAGGUCUUUCAGCUUAUAUUGUUGUUCUAGGAGACGCACUUUCUAGUUUGAGUCACUGAAGUUUUCACCCCUAGGAAACACACUUCCUAGUCUAGGUUUUUCAGGUUAUAUUUUGUUUUAGGAGACGCACUUCCUAAAUUGAGGUUUUACCUCUAGGAGACACACUUCCUUAGUUUGGGUCAUUUAAGUUCACCCCUAGGAGUCGCACUUCCUAGUUUGAGUCACUGGAAUUUUCACCCCUAGGAGACGCACUUCCUAGUCUGGGUCGUUCAGAUUAUAUCUUUGUUCUAGGAGACGCACUUCCUAAAUUGAGAUUUUACCCCUUAGAGACGCAUUUCCUAGUUUUGGGUCAUCUAAGUUCACCCCUAGGAGAUACACUUCCUAAUCUGGGUCUUUCAGGUUAUAUUUUGGUUUAGGAGACGCACUUCCUACAUCCGAGAUUUUACCCCUAGGAGAUGCACUUCCUAGUUCGGGUCUUUCAAAUUAUAUUUUGUUUUAGGAGACGCACUUUCUAAAUUGAGAUUUUACCCCUAGGAGACACACUUCCUAGUUUUGGGUCAUUUAAGUUCAUUCCUAGGAGACGCACUUCCUAGUUUGAGUCAUUUAAGUUCAUUCCUAGGAGUUGCACUUCUUAGUUUGAGUCAUUGAAGUUUUAUCCUUAGGAGACUUCUUAGUUUGGUUCAUUCAAGUUUCAUCUCUAGGAGACGCAUUUCCUAGUUUAAGUCGUUUGAUUGCAUCCCUAGGAGACACACAUCCUAGUCGACUCUUUAGUUUACUCUCAUCAUUGCAUCAAUAUCCUAAGCGGUUUACAGUUUUUCAAAUAACUCACAAAUUUUCAUAGUAAAAACUACAGUAGAAAAUUUUGUUUGUUUUGUUAUUUUGAUUGCAGUCACCCAUCUGGAGAAUGAUGGAAGGCAUUUUAGAGUCCAUUUCAGAGUCAAUUCAGGUUUCAAGUCAGUACAGGCUCAUACCUAGAUAACGAGGGAUGUGAUUUCAGAAUUCAAUUCAAGUUAGAAGUAGCAGAAGCUCGCCUCAAGAAUGCGAGUCAACAGUCCGAGGUGACCAACAAAAGUAAGUACUACUUUACGAAAAAAAACAAAAAAGAAGAGAAAUAAAUCCAAAUGCCGAAGCAGAUGAAAGAUGUGAACUGCUCAAGACAUGGUUGAAGUUAUGAGCACUACAUGUCCGGUCUUGAUCUGAAGAAGUCGUGGAAAAAUGAAUCAGCACCUACAGCUAGCAAGUAUCAAGGUUCAAAUCAAAAGUCUACAUGAAGAACCAUUCAAGAUUCAAGAUCAAGCUUCAGUAGACUUAUAGAUAGGAAUCUUGUAACUCAUAGCUGAUAGGCUUGCUCAGUUCUUUUAGAUUUUGAUUUUAUGUAAUAACAACACAGCGGACCGGAACCUCGGCGGCACCUCAAUCGGCUCUCCACCUCGAUACUCUAUCACUGUUUCUACUUCUGAACUACACGUGGCCUGAUUCCUUUAUAGCCAAGUAUAUGUAGGCAGCUCAUAUACCAGGGUUCGGUCACAGUUUCCUCUCUUUAGUUUUUGGUAUCUCUAAAUAAGGGUCAGGUCAAAAAACCUGUCUCGUCGUUCUUUGUCUGAAAAAUCUUCGUGUUUCCAAUCAAAGAGGGGCAGCUGUAGACAUGUAAUUUUUGACCCUCCCCGGGACUUCUACACCUUUUAGUGUUAAAUAUUUCUUUUAGUUAUAAUAUUGUUACUUUGCUUAUUUUUGAUAAUUUUGCUUUAUUUUCUCUUGAAAAAAAAACUACAAAAAUAUUUUUUGUUUAUUUAUUUUUAUUUAUUUUAACUAACUGAUAUUAUGUCUAGUUAUUUUAGUUUAUCUUACUUUUAAUAAAAUUAAAAAUUAC